This 253-nucleotide ribosomal RNA is filed under the name uncultured bacterium. RNAcentral's name for it is "partial 16S ribosomal RNA". It matches the Rfam family "Bacterial small subunit ribosomal RNA", at positions 524 to 776 of the family's 1533-position model. The record is from RNAcentral.
GACGGAGGGUGCUAGCGUUGUUCGGAAUGACUGGGCGUAAAGCGCGUGUAGGCGGCCAGGUAGGUCGGUUGUGAAAAUUGGAGGCUCAACCUCCAGACGUCGAUCGAAACCAUCUGGCUAGAGUCCGGAAGAGGAGAAUGGAAUUCCUGGUGUAGCGGUGAAAUGCGCAGAUAUCAGGAAGAACACCAAUGGCGAAGGCAGUUCUCUGGGACGGUACUGACGCUGAGACGCGAAAGCGUGGGGAGCGAACAGG